UACGGAGGGGACUAGCGUUGUUCGGAAUUACUGGGCGUAAAGCGCACGUAGGCGGCUUUGUAAGUCAGGGGUGAAAUCCUGGAGCUCAACUCCAGAACUGCCUUUGAUACUGGCGAUCUCGAGUCCGGGAGAGGUGAGUGGAACUGCGAGUGUAGAGGUGAAAUUCGUAGAUAUUCGCAAGAACACCAGUGGCGAAGGCGGCUCACUGGCCCGGUACUGACGCUGAGGUGCGAAAGCGUGGGGAGCAAACAGG
RNAcentral lists this ribosomal RNA (253 nucleotides) under uncultured bacterium. Its description in RNAcentral is "partial 16S ribosomal RNA". It matches the Rfam family "Bacterial small subunit ribosomal RNA", at positions 524 to 776 of the family's 1533-position model. The record is from RNAcentral.